RNAcentral lists this non-coding RNA (57 nucleotides) under unclassified sequences. RNAcentral describes it as "glnA RNA". It matches the Rfam family "Glutamine riboswitch aptamer (glnA leader)". The record is from RNAcentral. RNAcentral also lists the same sequence under 1 other name.
UGCGUUGAUCCUUUUGUAGGACGCAAGUAACUCUCUAGGAGAGUGAAGCAACGGGAA